UCAUCUGUUUCUUGAAUAUUUAUUGAAUUUGACCUUUAAGUGAAAAGGCUUAAAUAAAUCAAAAAGACGAUAAGACCCUAUAAAUCUUUACAAGAAAUAUAUUUUAUGUUUUAGUUUAUAAGUGUAUAAGAAAUAAAAAUAUAAGUUUGUUGCGCUGGGGCGGCGUAGAUAUAUAAAUAAACUGUCUAUGGUUUAAAUACAGUAAUUAUUGCUUAAUACAAAUUGAUCCUUAAAUAGAUUAAAAGAUUAAGAUACUUAGGGAUAACAGCGUUA
RNAcentral lists this ribosomal RNA (273 nucleotides) under Paralomis africana. RNAcentral's name for it is "partial 16S ribosomal RNA". The record is from RNAcentral. Lineage: Eukaryota; Metazoa; Arthropoda; Malacostraca; Decapoda; Lithodidae.